Molecule: ribosomal RNA, 253 nt
Filed under: uncultured bacterium
Lineage: Bacteria
Description: partial 16S ribosomal RNA
Rfam family: Bacterial small subunit ribosomal RNA
Source: RNAcentral
UACGGAGGGUGCAAGCGUUAAUCGGAAUUACUGGGCGUAAAGCGCACGUAGGUGGUUUGUUAAGCCAGCUGUGAAAUCCCCGGGCUCAACCUGGGCACUGCAGUUGGAACUGGCAAGCUAGAGUAGGGUAGAGGGGUGUGGAAUUCCAGGUGUAGCGGUGAAAUGCGUAGAUAUCUGGAGGAACACCGGUGGCGAAGGCGGCAUCCUGGACCGAGAUUGACGCUGAGGCGCGAAAGCCAGGGGAGCAAACGGG